RNAcentral lists this ribosomal RNA (327 nucleotides) under uncultured eukaryote. Its description in RNAcentral is "partial 18S ribosomal RNA". It matches the Rfam family "Eukaryotic small subunit ribosomal RNA", at positions 1470 to 1796 of the family's 1831-position model. The record is from RNAcentral.
CCCUUAGAUGUUCUGGGCCGCACACGCGCUACACUGAAGGAGGCAGCGUGUACUCCUGGAUCGAAAGAUUUGGGUAACCCGCGAAUCUCCUUCGUGCUAGGGAUUGAGGUUUGCAAUUAUCCUUCAUGAACGAGGAAUUCCCAGUAAGUGCAAGUCAUAAGCUUGCGCUGACUACGUCCCUGCCCUUUGUACACACCGCCCGUCGCUACUACCGAUUGAAUGAUUUAGUGAGGACUUCGGACUGGGACCGAUGCGGCUUUCGGGCGGCGUCGGUAUUCUGGAAAGAUGUCCAAACUGUAUCAUUUAGAGGAAGUAAAAGUCGUAACA